This 1598-nucleotide unclassified non-coding RNA is filed under the name Bombus terrestris (buff-tailed bumblebee). RNAcentral's name for it is "misc RNA ENSBTSG00005033429.1". Lineage: Eukaryota; Metazoa; Arthropoda; Insecta; Hymenoptera; Apidae. The record is from RNAcentral.
UGUUUAUAGUAAGCUGAGUAGUAUUUGUUAAAUCUAUUGUAUCUAUAAUUUGAUAUUCUGAAGGAUUAUCCAUAAUUUCUAAAAAUAUACAACUAUCACUGAAAUUUUUGGAAGACCCUGCAACUAUACAUAACAAAGCAAUGAGUUUAUUAUAAUUUAAUAAAGUAUUUAGUAUUUUUAUUAUAAAAAAGAAUGUACCAUUAUUUUCUACUGUUCCUACUUUAACUUCUUGUUCUUUUAAAGCCUUUUCUGCUAUUUUUAAUUUCUCCUCUAAAAUUAACUUUUCAUUUAACAGUUGAGCUUGUAUACUUUUUUCUUCUUUAACUUUAUUCUCCAUCACAUUUUUCCAUUCAGUUUGUUGUUCUUCUCUCCACUUUUCCAUUUGCUCUUUCAUUUUCAUUUCCAAUAUUCCUUUCUCAAGCUUACUUACACUUAAUGCUUUUUGCCAUUUUUGUUUCUCUUCAUUCAAUUUCUUUUCAAAUUCAACUCGUUCAUUUUUCAAUUUUUCUAAUAAUUCAUAUGUUAAAUAUUGCGCUGACUUUGUGAUGGCGCGAAGGAAACGUGGCAAGAAUCGGAAUCAACGCGUGUACACGCGUUGACGAGCCGAUGACGAGCAAAGGCCAGGCCCCGAGCAUAACUUUAUUCCAUUAGGCCUUAAUUUGUGUCAAUUCGAGCCGCCUACCCAGUCGUUAUCUCUUACCACGCGAGACGAAACAACUGUGUUAAUUAGGAGCACAUUCGUUUAGAUUUUCGUCGAUCUAACGGAAUCACAGCAAAUCCUUAAAAUCUCACCGACAACACAAUGCUAUCAUUCAACGGAGAAGAAGAAGGAAAAAAGAAGAAGAAUAGGAAGCGGAAAAAGAAAUAUUCACACGAUUUAACUAGCCGUCCAAUUCGCUAUUUGAAAUCGUUACACUUUGCUUUGGCAUAAAUGUCAUUUUUUUCGAUCAGCGAAAUCAGCAUCGAGAUGAAAAAUGCCUGAAACGCUUUCUACGAACAGAAAGACUUUCUAAAAGGCCGCCGCGUUUAGAGUUAUAAAUUGCGACGCAUUUGCGCAUUCAGUUGUUUUUGCUUGCCGGAUGUCGUCAUUAAUUCAAAUUAAACAGCAAAAAAAAAAAAAAGAAGGAAAAGAAACUGGAUGAGGAAAUAAAAAAGUUGCUGCAAUUUUGUAUAAUUUCACUAGCCGGCAGGCACAAGUUGCAGAUAGCGUUUGGCAACGUUGGUCUACGAUUUACUCGAUCCGCUGUGCGCGACCACGUAAGUGACAAGCACACGUGACGCGUGUUAUGAUUCCAUAGCUACAUAAUUCCGGCUUGUCGUAAUUUAAAUAGAAUUAAUUACUGCACCUGUGUGAACUUCACUGUGCUCUCGACCGCGAUCGUCUACGCCGACACGUUUAUAUUCCGUGUACACGUAACAGCUUUGAUAAGAUUAUAAGUGAAGGUCCAUCGGACCUGGCCACGUAUCAAACACGGAAAAAUACAUGUUCAUUGCCGCAAUAACAUUUACACAGAUAUCGUCGAACAGCGACCGAACAUUGUAAAAUCAGAACACAAUCGAAACACAUCAGCAUAUGACCGUUACUUAGCGCAUCUUUG